This 424-nucleotide ribosomal RNA is filed under the name uncultured bacterium. Its description in RNAcentral is "bacterial SSU rRNA". It matches the Rfam family "Bacterial small subunit ribosomal RNA", at positions 355 to 776 of the family's 1533-position model. The record is from RNAcentral.
UAGGGAAUAUUGGGCAAUGGCGGAAACGCUGACCCAGCCAUGCCGCGUGCAGGAAGAAGGCGCUCAGCGUUGUAAACUGCUUUUAUCGACGAAGAACGGCCUUCCUGCGGGAAGGUGUGACGGUAGUCGAGGAAUAAGCACCGGCUAACUCCGUGCCAGCAGCCGCGGUAAUACGGAGGGUGCAAGCGUUGUCCGGAUUUAUUGGGUUUAAAGGGUGCGUAGGCGGGCUGGUAAGUCUGGUUUGAAAGUCAGCGGCUCAACCGUUGAGGGUGGCUGGAUACUGCCGGUCUUGAAAUUGUUGGAGGCCACCGGAACGGAUCGUGUAGCGGUGAAAUGCAUAGAUAUGAUCCAGAACACCAAUUGCGUAGGCAGGUGGCUACGACUGAUUUGACGCUGAGGCACGAGAGCAUGGGGAGCAAACAGG